Molecule: long non-coding RNA, 670 nt
Filed under: Medicago truncatula (barrel medic)
Lineage: Eukaryota; Viridiplantae; Streptophyta; Magnoliopsida; Fabales; Fabaceae
Description: long non-coding RNA (MTRU_LNC005695)
Source: RNAcentral
UGGCAGAUGCAGGCAAGAAACCACCUAUUGAAAUCCUACCUCCGGGGAUGAUGUCACUUAAUGCCCCCAUUUCCAUUUCGAAAAAACCAGCUUCUGCUGCUCAGAACUCCCAGCCACAACCAAUUAAGCCAUUGGCACUGGAAGCACCUCCUACAACCACAGCAGCGCCAGACAGUUCUACGCAGCAGCUUGAAUCUGCACCUGCACCAGUUAGUGAUCCACCUCCAUCAGACUCCACACCAACUCCUGAGGCCACUACACCUGAAUCAAAUUCGGGUGAAACAGCUGUAGCUAAUGGAGGUCCUACCCCGGCGUCAGUAAGUGAAGAAAAUCCAAAUGUUAAUGGGGAAACUGUUCAGGCAGAGACUACAAGUGAUCCAGCCCCUCCUGAGGCCCCAUCACCGGUAGCAGAGGUUUUAGAGACCAAUACUCCAAAUCCAACUACAGUACCUGCAAGUGGUGACCCUUUCCUAUGAUUGGAAUACCUGCAAGUGGUGACCCUUUCCUAUGAUUGGAAUACCUCCCGCACUGUUGAAGUAAAUGAAUUUAUUUACAAUUCAAGAUUUGUUUACGUUUGUAAAGAAAUUAUUUUAGAUAUAAAGGAAAUCUAGUAUUAGUUUGUAACAAAUGUAUAAUUUGGUGGUACAAUUGUACCUAGCAUAUGUCUUUC